This 27139-nucleotide long non-coding RNA is filed under the name Hordeum vulgare. RNAcentral describes it as "long non-coding RNA (HVUL_LNC015385)". Lineage: Eukaryota; Viridiplantae; Streptophyta; Magnoliopsida; Poales; Poaceae. The record is from RNAcentral.
UGAGGUGAAGGUCUUACUUAGUAGGCAAAUUCGAGCUGUUGUUUUAAUUCAGAGACCAGACGACUUUGAUACUGCUGCUUCUAUGGCCUUGACGCUGACAUAAGCGCAUUUAUAUUAUGAGUUAUUAGGCGAGGCUGCCCCUAGAACCAUCUUAUUAUUUUUAGCGUAGCAGUUGCUUAAAAUUGGAGAAAAACAACCAAUUGUGCCUAUGUUUCAGACAAUCCCAUGCUUGCCCCGGAUCCAGAACUGUGAUUAGCAAGCACUACUGUCAGGUUCUUGACAGUUUCCUCUCGACUUUCAAAACACCUAUACUCAUACUCUCAAUCAGUGCACAUUUCUCUCAGGGUAUCCAAUCGAUGGGAUACUGGUGCUGGGGAGGGCACUAAACUUACAGGAAUGCUUCUCUUGAAUGAAUUCAUUGGUUCGAAUUCUUUUCUAUCUAAAAAUAAAGUGGAAUAUGGUAGUUUUCUGGGUGAAAUGGGCAACUGGAUCAACAAACAUGAGUGGAGCCAUAGCCUUGUAUGAGUAACGGUGCAACUGCCUAUCUUAUCCAUCUCGAGCCCUAAGCAAUGCGAUUUUCCUUUACUUUGCCACUAGCUAUAUCAUUGUCUAAAUGUUGAAGAACUAUUGUGAUUUCAUUUCGAUCGGAGGUUACACAUGGAGGCUCUGGGUCAAGAGGGGAAAGCAUGGCUGAACAUAGCAGCACUUCCCACUCACUACCACCUAUGUCGCAAGCGCCUUCCUCCGUCUAUCUGUUGUCGCUUCCGGGCACACCAUCAAUUGAUUCAUCUUUGAAUAAUAAUGGGUUUCAGUGGCGGACAAUAGCAAGCUACUGACCCUCUAGAAUAUGGGUGCAUUCAGCAUCGGAUUGACAAGUUCUGCUGAUAGCGGAUCCUGAGACGCAACAAGGGCGGGGACAAUACCUAUAGUGGGGAGGGGACCCAAGCAUCACAAUAUCACGAUGUUUUCUUUUCAUUGAUCAAACCGCUUCGCUUGCACGGAUCUAGAAAGAAUAACAAGAGCUGAACUACCGGUAUACGGAGUGGCUUCGACAUGUCUAAGCAAGGGGAUGAGUCGGCAUCUUGUAGAGGAUCUAUCAAGAGUGGCAAAAAGAGAUGCAUUAUUCAUGGCAAGUAGGCGGUUCCUUUUCCCUAUUACCUCAUUGACUUCCCGUUUGGAGCUUGCAACCAUUAUUCUAGGGAGCACGAGCACAUAUGAAGGGGAGAAGACGACUGGUGAGGGUGGAUUUCAGUCGAAAGAGCUUCUGCAGUCACCAUUGCGUAUCCGUAUCGUGUUCCUCUAUUCACAGGUUCUCAUGCCCUUACUAAAAAGCUCUAUAACAUGGUCCCUCAUAAUGAAUGUCAUUCCUUUUCGCCUAUAUAAAAAUCCUGCAGAAUCACAUUCGCUCUUGGGAAAUAGGCAUUGUCGAGCUUUAUUUUCAGACAAGUUCAUCUCUGUAGUGGCCCAAUCCAACAAAAUAACAUCUCGCAGGUGAUCCACCGAGCGAAUCCUGAGGCUGUGGUGCUCAUAGUACCCGAACCCUUGGAUCUCGCUUUGCAAUGGAACCUCUUCUGUGGACUCAGCUUAAGUAAAAGAUGGAGGUUUCGGCGAUGUCUGGUUGGACGGACCCCCUAUUCAGAAUACGCGUGCGUCCCCACGUACGCGCGUGAUAAACCAUAAACACAAAGGAGUGAUAUGACCCUCUAAGAAGAUGAGGAAUCCACUUGUUAAAAGAAGAAAGAAUCAGCUAAACCACUGGAAUAGAGAGAUUCGCCUCAUGGAAUAUAAGGAAAACAUGCACAAGAAAUAUGAGGAAUGCACUAAAAAAGAAACUAAACAGAUCCAAAAUAUAAGGAAUGACCGGCUUCGACUUCUAUUCAGAUGCACAAUCCAUUGAAAUUAUUCCACUUUACCGAUGCAUUCAUCUGGUUUUGGAUGCAUUCAUCAUGUUUUCAGUAUCCAUUCCCUAUGGUGUCCAAAGGGAUUGCCUUAUGAAUCGAAAAUUCCGAUCAAUCGAAAAACAAAUGCAGCAGGACACACUUUUGAAGAUAAAACGAGUGUGCAGCUGUGAUGCACACCGGGGGAAUUCCAAAAAGACUGGCUUCCCCUUCUAGAAAGAGAAUACGCGUGUGUCCUCACGUAUGCGCGUAAAAAAUGAAGAAAAGAAAGGUGUGGAUUGCUGCGAGAAAAUAGCUUGCACGAAAGAGCUCGAAAUUGAGUAAGUUAAGUUGACCCAAUUAACCGAUUUUAGAGUCUUGAAAAAGCAAUCGAAUUAAGUUGUAUAUAGUCUAACUCAAAUACUUGAUUCAUGAUUAGAAAUCUCAAUCUUAAAUUAGCUUAUAUAAUGUUCUUUACUUUUGAUGCAAUGACAGAUUCUCUUUCGAUAACAUAGCACAGCCAUUGGGCGAGACCACGUGAACAUGACUACUUAGUAACGUCGUUGAAACCGGCCAACCUGCCGUCGUAAGAGAGAUAUUUUAGCAUUGUUGCAACCAGUUAUCAAUCCAAUCCUUCGCAAACCAACUAAGCUAUAAAGCUUUUUUUGUUGAAGUGGCAGACACAAGAUAAAUAAUGUGAAACCGGACCUCUCUUACUACAGUGGGAGGUGUAGGCCUUAUUUGCAGCAUCAGGUGCAACAUUAUUCCCCCCUAGAGAGCCAGCGGGUCCCCACGCUGGUGCAUUCGGGAAGCUGUAUGCAUUCGGUGCCCUCAAGCGGGGAUUAAGAUUACCCAAAUCAGCAUAACAAAAUGGGAGCUCAAAGACAAACUCCAGAAUAGCUGAGUUGACAUCAAUACAGACCAUGCAAUGCUUAAAUUGCCUUUGCUCAUUGCUGCUAACCUGACUCCAACAAUUAGACAAUUGUUGCAACUCGUGUCAUCCGUGAGGGUAACUUGAGUAGUAAUUUUACUGAACUACAACAACAACCAUGAACUCACAAAAGAAGUACUCCAUCAUGGUAGCAGUCCAUGAAUCCCAUUCAGCACCAGAGCUCAACAUACACAAGACUAAACUGCCAAUACUCUAACCACCAGCUACAGGUGGCUCACGAAUGAAUAGUUCCAGGCGAGUAGCUUCAGGUGGUGGUCGUAUCUCAUCUCCAUCCACGAACCAAGGUACUAGCCAGUGCCAGACUGUACAUGUAAAGGAAGAGACGCUGAAGACUGCCUUUUAUUCAUGGAAGAUAGAUAAACAAGAUUCAUUCCAUCGUAAGACAGAACAAAAUACUACUAGCCAAAGCCUACUUCGGCACAUGAAGGAAGUGAGCAACAGCCCUUGGGCAUGAGGCGGGUAAGAUAUGCCUAAUCUAUUGGGCCGAUAAAUACUUCUUUCCCAUGGGUACGAUAUUAGAAAUCUUUGUUGCGAACAGAAAAGAGAGAGACAUAAUAGAUUUGGUAGGCGGAGGAAUGGAAGGGCCAGGCUCACAUCUUAUGAACGGAGGAAGCGAAAUGCUGCAGUCAAGAGAAAUCAUUAACACUUAUUCACAGCUCAAAGCCAUAACCAUAGGGGCCUAGUCUACGAGAGAUUGAUCCGACAAGCAACUCCGGGAUGUGAGGCGUUUAAGCCAUAGUUGAAAUAGAAAGUACCGGUAAAUGACUUGCCGGGGAUCCGCUGAAAUACGAGAAGAUCCCGACGUUUUGCAGUGCAUGCGCUUGGUCAUUGGCAUGAGGAGUGCGGCACGGGAGAGCGUGAUGUUGCCAAACUAGGAUGGGCCCCGUUCCUGAUAGCAGCUUCCCUGGAACUAGCUGCCAUUGUAUCGGUUGGUGCCAUUUCUUCUCUUGGAGGCACGGCAAUAGAUUAAGAUUAGGCGGUAAGCGAAGGAACUGUAGGGCUUAGGGCUGCGGGUGAGCGCAACUUCAAUAGGUCGAGGGGAGGAAGAGAAGAAAAAGCAGCUAUUUCACCUGGUGUCAUAAUAACCACAGUUUUCGGGUUUUAAGGCAUAAGCGCAGGAGAGAUCUUCUUUCAUUUAAGAAGAAGCCACCGUAAAGAAGAGGAAACAAGGCGUUUAAGGGACACUGACUCCCAUUAUUUUCUCCAUGCCUGCUUUGGCUAAAUCGACGGAGGCUUAGCUUAUUAUGUGUCAGGCGUUUAGCUAGCUUAGAGAAUAAAUAAAUCUAUCCCUAAAGGGGGAGCGGUACCACUAUUUUAGGUUAGAGGAAGGUUGAAGAGAGAAUAGCUAAAAUAGCCAGUCGGGUAGCCAAGUGCGGGUGGCUAUGGUCAAAGUGAAUAUGUCUUGUCGAUCAACUGUUUAGUAUACCCAGUUCUGUAGAAUUAUUUUGUGCGUGGAACUCCGAACGACCCUUAUACUGUUUUGCUUUCUGCUACUUCUUGUUCUGCUUUGCCUAGAGAAUUUCACGUCUGUGGAAUGCCCUAUAGCUAUAUUUAGGUAUAUUACUCCUCUAGCUAUAUUUAGCUAGUUCACCAUUGUAUACGACCAAGGUUUACACCUGAGAGUCAUAGUGAAUCCUUGCAUUCGUGAAACUGACCAGAUGAGAACGAAACUGGUGGGAACAAUCAACUAUACGACAACUGCGAAGUUCAAGUUGGCUUCUGAAAAUCAACUAUGCUGAAAUAGAUUCUCUUUUGAGAGCCCUACAUAUACCGAUCAAACAUUCCAUUUCAGACUUGUCUGCUUUACUAUCUAAUAAGUUUGAUAGAAAUCAAGGCGGGUAUAGCUUCCUUUGAUCCAUACCGUAAUAUUCAAGCCGACUUUGUCAACUUAUUCCCCUUUUUCAGGUUGAAUUGACAAUGCUGUACUUUAUUCAACCAUAGGAAUCAGAAUUUCGUAGGUAGAGGGGGCCAAGGUGCCAGAAACAUGGAUUUCAUGGAAACAAGGUAAUCCAUAGUUGGUAGCAGAUGUUCCAUGGGAUCAGUUAUCCUCCGUCUUGUCUCUGCAUUCGAGGAAUGCUUGUAGCUAUGCUAGGCGUGAGAAGAACUCUACAAUACGAUUUCUACGAUUGGUACCACAUUGGAAUUCAUUCUCGGAACUCUCCUCUAGAGAAUGGCCUAGCUAAAGAGAGUGAUAGAUCCAUCGCGUCGUGUGGAAACUAAAGCUAGGUGCCGCCAUUCGUCCUCAGCCGUAUUCUCAUUCUGGGAAAAGUUAUGGCUCGUUCUGGGAAACGAUCAGUAGUAGUGGUGGAUGGCAGGUAUGGAAGGAUCCCGGCAAGUUCCUAUCUGAGAUUACCACCGGCCCUUCCCUGAGCUGACUUCUUUGCUAGUAGUGAAGUGCGUUUUCACUUAGCUGGAAAAGUCCAUAAUCCGUUUUGACCUCGGGAGCCUGCCCACGGAUCUGAUCAAAGUAUGAUUCCCUAGUGCCAAAAGUCCUAAAGCCUAUGGCGCCAAGCAUGGGGAGUCCGCGGAGAAGAAAAACUCUAUUUCGCUAUGGGCCAAAACUAGUGUUUUUUCGGAUUUCUAGUCUAGUUUAAGUGCAGGGCUAGAGAGUUCUCUUCCAGUAUCUUAGCUGACUGUCCGCUUGCUUGACUCGAACAAAUAGCUUUUGUUUCCACAAGGCAGAUCCCAUUCCUCGAAUGCAAAGGACAAGAAAGACGGAUUCUGGCUGGAAGAAAGGGUUCUCGUAUUGGUUCUUCUGGUGCGCUACUUCCUUGUGCUGUGCCAGAUUGGAAUUGGUAUCGGAAUCCUGGUUGGUAGAAGGAAGCUCGGGUAUUGCUUAUUGUUGAAAGCACUCGUUUGUUUCGGCUCGUGAGUUGAAAUCACUCGCUUGUUCCGGCUCGUGAUGUGUCUGACGCAUGCAUAGAAUCAAGAUCUAUUGAGACCAGGAUGUUUGUUUCUUGCUCGAAACAAGAGAUACGCUCCGGCUUAUUUGCAUUCAACUGGAGAACCUCACUUAUCAACUGCCCUGGAUUGGAUCUACUUACGAUUUGAGAAACUGGCUCCAGAACCCAUGUUUUUGAUGCAGAAUCGGUGGUUCCUUCUCUUUUUCGUGAUUUCAUCCAUAAAUCAAUGGAAAGAGCACUUUAUUCAGUGAAUUGACACGUUCCUCAUGCUUUUACAGUAGUAGUAGUCUCGGUAGCAGAAGUAGAUCCGAGUGUAGAUACCGGGAUCAUAUCACCACUAUUGACUAUUUCAAUUCAUUCACAUCUGCUCGUAUCAAUCAAAGUUUCCUAUCAAGCAAUCCCAGCAGCAAUCAAGUUGGCACCCACUAUAUAAGAUGCACUAUUUCCUGAUCUUGUCCCAAACCCAACUCGACACUUUUAGACCUGGCCUGGAUCCCUCCCUUCUCCGACAAUAUAUGCAACCUUAAAGAAAAGAGACCACUCUCAGAACGACCCUUCGGAAAGCCCCACAACAAGCUAUCCCAGAAGAAAUUGUAUAACUUGGCCAAAGUAUUCACUUCCAAUUCCCUUUGCAAUAAGAUCACAGUAGAUACUGUUUAGAAGGUUCACUCUCUCGUCUACAAAAAAUAGAUGUGUGCUUACUUCUUGGAGAUUAACUCCUGCGGGUAAGUGCACACCCUCAGUAGUAUCUCUAUAGACUUUAUAGAGUAUUUCCAAUUGAUAAAUGAUUUGUUCUUUAAGAACAUCUUUGGAUAUAUCAGUUACUUGUGUUUCAACAUUAAUAGCAUUUAUGUGAUGGAUCAUCGCCCUAACGGCGACAAGAAUAGCUAUCGACAAUGACAAACCCAAUGAUACAAUAUACUCAAAUAUAAUCGUUUCCAUAAAAAUCUGCCAUCAUUUUUUUAGUCAUACUUGUCCCUUAGCGGACUCACUCUUGUCUUGCUUCAUCUAAGGAGUGAUAAGUGCCAGGAGUCUGCCUCUAGCAUCAAUACAUGUCCUAGUUACGAACAAAGAAGCGGUGUUGUCUCCUUAGCGUUAGCGGCCUUAUGCCUAUUCCAGUAUACGCCCGUGUCAAUAUGUCUAGACUUACCUAUACCCAUGCUUCCUUCUUCUUUGACUAGCUUGCUUCCCCUAUCAAAUAGAAGGGGAAUGACUGCGUGCUUGGCCAUCGUUAGUAAGCCCACGUAGGAUAGGACCAUCAUCGAGCAAAUGUUCCUUCAAAGGCGCGGAGCGUGCUAUGGCAGAUUUUCAUCCCGCAAGAGGAUGCGCCUAACUAAAACGCCGUAAGGCAGUGCAGCUCAAUCCGUUGCUUUGCUUGUUGGAUCCACUUUUGGAAAGUUUCUUUGUUCGUAGCAUUAGUAGUUACUCACUGCAUUAGUAGUUACUCACUGGGUGGGUGCACCAACGGCUUUCUAGGAAUUUGAGUUGAAGAUUCUUUCGUGAAAUAAAAGAACGGCAGCGGCAGGUUGAUGAGGGAAAGGAAACCAGAUCUUUUUUCUAUGGUAUGGCCUGGGUGGCCUAAGUGAAAUCCCGAGAUAUGAAGGAGCCGAUCAAUCUACCCGCCCGAGGUAAGCUUGCUCCUCACUUGAGUUGAAGCUGCCUCCGCUCCCUGUCGUCAUACGGAUUGAUUUACUUUAUCUUGACAUGCGCUACACUUAUAUUUGCUAGAGAUAUCAAUCGAAAUAGGAGCCUUCUGAAAAUAGAAAUCGAUAUAUCCAUGGUAUUGAAUGGCCAAGAAUUGAAUGGGAUUGUGGCACCCAGUGAUACACUACGCCAUGUUACGAACAAAGAAAUGAUAGAAUUUCAUUAUGGCAUGGCGCUAUAGGCCAUCGAUUCGGUUAUAGGAGUAGACGCGGGCAAUGGCAAAGAGGAACAUUUGGAUGGACGACCUCCAAGACACGAGUCACUACUUUAGAACUACGUUAUUCCCUGGCGUGAGGUACACAUCCGGGGUUGAAGAAGGGACGCAUAUCAAAUAAAUGUGAUCUAGAUCCCUUUAACAGAAUAGCAGCAUCUUUGAAUUCCGAGCCGAGACUAUUAUGAUUACCUACCGAAUUGGAGGAAUCAAAGAUCCUUACUUGAGGAACUUAACUGGCACUCUACUGAUUGGACUUUACCGACUUCAAAAACCAGAAAAGAUUCUAUACCGAGCUUACCUAUCAACCAGACGGACUUGAACAACUGACCUGUAUGCUAUUGUUAUUGUCGGGCCUCCAGACCAUACCAAUUCACCGAGUUAGAAACCGGACCAGAGCUAUUAACCGACUUGACGUGCUUUCCUGACUAACAGACCGGACAGACCAAUCCAACGAACUGACUUUGCUAGCUUAUCGAGCCGAGGAGACAAGACGGAUCCAUAUAAGGAUACCAGCAACCCGAAGAGAAGAACCCCGGUUUAUUAGAGAGAUCCGUUCUAUUUCACUAGUUGGGUUUCUGUCUCGGCCUGGCAUCUUUGGACAAGAAUCAUAAGUAUAAGUAGCAGCUUCCUAUUCCUUAGUACUUUCCUGUAGUGUAGUUUCUCAAACCAGUGCUUUUCCUGGAAUGGAUAGAAUUCCUCAACUCUAGGAAAACCUGGUAUGAAAAAUUCCGUAUAAUAUGCAAAAUUACGUUUCCGUAUAAAAUAAAUAAGUAGACUAGCUCUGGACCGGAAAUCGAAACCCUGGAAAGAAAAGACAGGACAGGUAUGAAUCACUAAACCUGAGAGCUUCCUUGUCUUCUCCCAAAGCCAACUCUGGAUUUUCCUCCUUCCCGCAAAGUCAGAGUGAUGCUAUCUCUCCUCUCCCCGGCCCUCUGGGAUGAAGAAUGUCCAACAUCCUCUUCUUGGAUACCAGAUUCCAUCCUUAUCCACCUGGCUAGAAGCUGGCUAGAAGAUCGAAUUUCUUGGAAUGAGUAUAUUUUAGGUGUUUACGUAACUCAUCCAGUCCAGAAAUAGCUUGACCUGUACAAUUUCGAACGAAUCAAGAUAUCCUAUCGUUCUGGUAGCUAUAGUAGCUAUCUGUUCUUCCACUAGGAGAAGGUUUGAUUGGGAUUGUUUAAGCAAUUCCCGUCAUAAAAACAAUGGAUUCUGGCUAGUUUUAUCGAGAGCAUAGGUGAAUAAUAGGCUUGUCACUCUGCGAAUUGAGCUAGUUCCUAUUUUGAUUUGCCAGCUACUUGUUUCAUUGUGGCACAUUUGAGCCGCUGAUCCUACUCUGGAAAGUGAAAUACCCACAUGAAUAGCAGGUCGAAUUCUGGCAUGGAAUAGAUCCGCGGAUAAGAAGAUUUGUCCAUCUUGGAGAUGACAUUAGUUGGAAUAUAGGCGGAAACCACUCCAGUUGGGCAUACUCUCUUCGCCUAAAAGAAAAUUGUAUUGAGUGGCUCUUUCUAAAAGGCAUGAAUGCCAAUCAAAUCAACCCUAUCCUGAUGGAGAAUAGAGAUCCACCCACCCACCUUCUAUAUUCUCCCAUCCCCGAGGGAAGACCACGCACGGCCGAGAAAGAUGUGUCUCGUAUUCAGCAGCUCGCCUAAGUCCUAACGUUAAUGGAAAGAGUAAGAUAAGAAAGCUUAAGCGUGGUAGCCCAUAGAACAAAUAUGAGAAGUGAUGUUUUGAAAGCUUCUUAUUGAGUCUAAUACUAUCCUUUUGAAAUUCUUGGUCCUCAGAUCAGAUACCAUAACCAGCAUCUACAUGCUCAUGCUGCAAACUAUCACAUAGGUCCUAUUUCAGGUUCAUUUACUUUCUCAAAUAAGUAACUUUGUCUAAUGUUCCCCGAGCGAUUAGUUAAAACAACCACCCCCUGAUCCGAAAGGAAUGGGUGUUCCCGAGGCUUAUUCAAAGGGCUUUCUAGUGAGUUAAUGGGGAAUGAGGGUAUCACCCAUAACCAGUUUGAAGAUGCAAAAAUUAUGUUCUUGUCAAGGAGGGGGAUUAGCUACACAACCAAGGAAGGCCUUUUUAGAUUAUUAAUAUUCUGACUGCUUUUCACUCUUGUCUAGAUCUUGCUAUUGCUUAGAGGGCAGGCCGCAGGACAAAGCAAGAGCUUGCAUGCGAGGGGCGCAGCGAAUGUUUGCUUCAAAGGAGCCUGUGAGCCAGCGAUAAUUAGACCCGUUAAUUAGUAGGGACAACUUGAAGUAGGGACAACUUGAAUACUCCACCUGUGUCUAAUCAUCCACUCGACCAGCCAAUGAAACGAAUUGAGAUGAAAGUGAUCGAAAGUUAUCUCCCGUAGAAGGAGCUAUGUUUGCGAAGGAUCGAAGAGAGCGUUGAGGGCGCUAGCAACAGCGUGUUUGUUUCAACACAAGAAGUGUCGAUCCAAGCUUUAAGAACUCAAUCGUCCGUCCGACCGAAUCACUCGUUUAUGGCUCUGAUUCCAAGUCAGGGUUUAAAACAGCGGUGACCCAGCUAGUUGAAUAGUUUUUACUUGGAACACCAGACAUGAGAGCCAGCUACAAAGACAGCUAAUGAUAUCAAAGUUGACGAAACAAGAGAGUUUCAUUCAAUUCUUUUCAGAGUGUACGCCUAUGAUCAAUAGUUCCUUAUGUAAAGGAUAUUUCCCUUCUCAUAUUCUAUUCGAGAGUUAUCAGUAUUUAGCAAAGCUGUUCCUAUCUAACGGAGGGCUAUUGGAUCAAAUGAAAAAACAUUGUUGAGAAAUAGUAGCCACCCGAAGUAGAGGGAAUCCAACCUUGCCCAAUCGAUGCUCAAGUGGCCCAAAGAAGCAAUCUGAAAAGGGAAGAGCUUGUUCUGAAGGAACCGCACUCAAAGGUAAUGUUUACUUUAUCAAAUCAUUCUUACUCCUUGGUUACCCCUGAUGAAACGAUCCUAUUCAUUUGACCAUUCACUAGUUUGUAAAUUGCGCCUACUUCAUGCACAUAACUCCACUCUACUGGAGGCUUGGCAUGCUCGAAAAGAAAAAAACGGAGUCAAUCUUUUCAAAUUCCUUGCGAACAAUACCGAAGACUUGCGGUGUGUAGUUGCUUGUGUGAGAUUUCUCAAGAUUGUAGAAAGGGGUUUUUAAAACAGGUUCCUUCCGUCUGAGAGGCUUUGCAAUCCAACUCAGUCUCCUUUGUGUGCGCACACACGCAAGCCAAGUUUCACUUUGAAUACCCCUGCCUUCCUCUCCUUUCAGUAAGUUUGGUAUUCUGUCUUGUGAGGUAGGAAAAGCCAUCAUGUUUAGGAGAUCAACAAAGAGUGAAUUGGUACAUAUGGACAUCGUGAAAAUAAGGAACUAGGGGAGUUACAGCAUAGUGAAUGUAAAGCUUACCUACCCGCCUAUCCUGCAUUGCUGACCUACCUGUACGAAUGUGCUUAAACGGAGAAUGAGGCGCCCUACCAAAUAUCCUGCUUGGGGCUCCCUACAAAUAGAAUUUAGGGAAUCCCUGCAGUGAACGAUGACAUUAUAUGGGCAAGAGCUUUACUUGUCCAUCACGGACUACUUUUCUCUCCGUUCAAUAGUGAGUUGCCUGAUAGAUAUCCUUCUAUGCUUCUUAUCUCUUAUCCUUUGCUGCGCGCCUUGCUAUUCUUUAUUAUAUAUCGUAUCAUUUGUUCCAUUCUCAAUGGUUGGCCAGAGGCCAGGAUGCUUUAGUUUAUCGGAUCGAUCGCUGUGGUCAAGUGCGCUGGUCUCUUUCCCAAGUCACAGGGGUACGGAUACCAGAAGUAGAUCCAGCAGGAGGUGGUAGCCAUUAUUAUUGAGAAAUAUAAAGAAAGCCGCUUCGUUCCCUUGUUUACUGAACUCUUUUUGGGAGAUAGGUCUACCGUUGCAAACUCAUUUUCUUGUAAAUUCAUUGUCUAAAAUAACUCGUAAAUUCAUUGUGCCAGAAUUGAUCAUCUAACUAGAACUAGUACUAGAUAUGAGCGUUAUUUCUGCGGGUUGCUAGUAGUUUGUUUCAUUAUCCCUCCCCGUCGUCCUCGAUGAUGAACCUUACAGAUAGGUCCCCAUUACGCACCUGUCUCUCUGCCCUGACCCAGUUUACUGCUCGAAAAUAGUAGCGGGAACUGUUUCCAUGAUGCUUAAGACUUUCAUACACGACCCAAAGCUUCUCUGGGUCAUUGAGCUCCUCUUCCUUGUGCUGGAGGGCCGAGGCAGCGAGAUCCUCGACGCUUUCCUCCGCGAAGUGGUAGCUCAAGACCGAGGUAGCAUCGAGGUCUCUUAACAGAGCGCCGAUGUGCUGGUGGUAAUUAAGGACUAGGGCUAGCCGUUCUUCUUCCCCCAUUGUAAGCGGUCGUCCUUCGGGCAGAUUUACACGAGCCUGACCUCCCUGCGGGAGAUACGGGGCUACGGCGCGGGACAGGUCGUCAUCGCCUAAAUGCAUCAGAUUAGUAGAUGCUUGAGCCCUUGCUUGCUCCCCGCCUUCCGUCAAGCCCCCGGGGGUUUGACUUGUGGACGCGACUUGUUUCUCACGCCUAUUGGCACCCCCCUGGAGAAGCGCAUCCCAGAAGCUAUCCUCCAGUGGUGUAGCCCUAGCCCCUGACCCCGACGGAUCCUCAUUUUGCGCGGGGUCGUUACCCGGUGAGCAUUCUGUAGGAGUAAUGUUAGACCCCAGCACCGCGCUACAACAAAAGCCGUAAAAAACUUGCACAGCCCAGACCGGGCAACGCGGACAUAAAGCGCGAACCAACAUCCGUGAUACGAAAACCGAAAUAAGAAUGAGGAAGAAAAACAUAUCCAGAUGAAUUUGAUUUAAAUUUAAACCCAAAAAUAACUUCCCAAACAAUUUGGAACAAACAAGUUCCAUACGAGACAUAAUUAACAACAUGGAAUGUCAGAGAAAUUCAAAUUAUGUAAGUUUGAUAAAACAAAGUCCCUCGUAGAGUCCACGGGGAGCCUACUUCUAUUUUUUCUGUAGUCAAACUAAGACUGGAGCUUGAAGCCACUACUCUAGAACCGGAAGAAGCCUAACUUUUGCAUUUUUAGUAUUUUUUCUUACUGUCAUUUCCGUUUAAUUACAAUACGAAAAUCUUCGAUUGGUAGAAGUGAGUCCAGAUCUCCCUCUUUUCCACUAAACCAUUUAAUUUCUAUAUGAAAAUAAGAGAUGCUUCUAGGGACAAUCAAGAUCACUAGGAAAGAGCUGAGUUAAAGUGGCACUCACUUGAUUAAAGGGUUUUGUGUGUACUGACUGAUCUAAGUGCAGAACCAUUCAAGAAACGUAAUUGAAAGAAAGAAAGAGCGCUAUUCUUCUCUAGUUAGGUACUGCCAUCAAUGAGUUUGCUAAGAAAGACCCCGGUGGAAUAUUUGGCCUGCUUACUAACUUAUAGGCUUUAGAGGGGACCCUUUCUCGCCCAGCCCUACCUACAGGGAUUGUAGGAUUUCGUUUGCAACUCUUUUUCCUAGAAAUCUCAAUCCAGCGAGUCACUACUCUUUUUCUCAAACAAGAAGCUGACAAAGAGAUCCAUCCAUUUGAUUUUCCCAAGAGACUAGUUUGAUUCCACCAAAGUCUCUCUUAGCGCAUAAGUAGAAAUUCAUUAUGAUUAGCAUGAAAACCAUUUUGCAAGAUAUCAAGAAAUUCUUUAAAUAAGUCAUCAUUCAUUAGCGCGUAAGAGCAUUCAUUCUAUCAACAAUAUUUCUCGAACUGGCGCACUUCCCUGUAGAGAGGAAAGUAGGAGAUUUCUCGUAAGGAUUAUACGUGAUUUUCCCAUUAUGUGAGCGUGCAUUUCCUCAAUCAUUAAGAAUUGGGCUUUGGGAAGAAAAACUAGUUCUAUGUCAAUUCUACAGCCAGAGGAAGAAUCAAGUCUAUCUCACUCAUAUAACUGCCAGUGGCACUAUUUCUUUUCAGGACAAACCUUUUAUGGUAUUUUCACUCCGAUUGCGGGAGGGAAGCAGGGCUAUAGAAAUCAGUUCAGAAAAGGACUGAUUGAUAGACUUAAUUUUACGGAGAAGAAAGGAAUAUUCACAGCAUUCAUCACUUCUAUAUUUUACUAUGAUUUUUCGAGCGUGUAUAGAGCCUAUCUAGCUCUAUUUCCUAGUUUCUCCUUUAAGUUGUGAGGAUUGAGUUUGCUUUGAUUCUGGUUCAGGGCAAGGGCUACUUUCUUGAGUUCGUAUAAGCAUGGAUCUAAUCUUACGUGGAUUGGUUAUCGAGAUGAGAAGACCGACACUUUAAAGCGGGUAACGUAAAGGAUAGUCGAAGUAGAGAUGCCAGGCCGGGUCUUAUACUAGUAGCUUCAACCCAGUAGGUUAUUUUGACUGGCCCUUUAGUUGGCAACUCGACUCCAACCCGAUCUGGAAGAGGAUUUAUUUUUUGCGAACUCAUAACUUAGCUAAAUGGGGAGAACGAAGAGGCGUGGAAAAUUGGGGGACGGACUCCUCAAUACCGGAUGAAGUUGGCUUACUUAAGUCCUUGGAGCUUCCCCCGCGGUAGAAGAAUCUAUCUUAAGGAUAUCGUCGGCAUCACAACGAAGACACACAUUCCGCACUACUUGCUCAUCCCACGACUUCCCAUCAAAUUUUCGUAGAUCCCUCACAAUCGAGUUAGGCCGAUUAGGGAAUUUCUCUCUCUUCGAACCUUGGGAUCCAGUAGUCCACCCAAACUUGCUGUGCUUAAACCAUCUCCAAUGCGCCAGAUCAGACCCGCCCAAAGAGUUUCCCUUGCAGCACAAACACCCUCCUCCAUGUGAUCGAAGCCUGAGGCGGAACCUUUGCCCUUAGACAAUAUCUAUUCGGGUAGUCACGCCCUUGAAGCACCUGAGCACAUAGAAAAUCAACGGCAGUCAACAGACUUCAUCUCAACUGAGUGUGCCGGUCCCAGGUUCUCCAGUGGAGUCGAUAUGUGUGAGUUGAGUCUAGCAGGGGCAGGGGAGUGAGAAUAGUCGACAGUUGAAUAGCUUGGCCAGAGAAAGAGGGAAUGAAUGACCGGUCUCGUUCUGGAUCUCUUUCCUUGCGCCCUAGUCCAUUCCAUCUAUCUUGACUGCAACUUGGAUUCUUUCUUGACUGCUAUUUGGAUUCGUAGUCCCUCAAAUCUCUAAGCAGGUGGCUAGAAAACCUUCCGGAAUAGGAGGAAUAUCUGAUAGUUUCUCAUCAGGAAUGGAAUUCGGUUUCCAAUCUGGUCACACAUGAAUCUUGCCCUAAAGCAAUUUCUUGAUUAGGAGCAGUAGGUGGCCCAUAGAAAGGAAUGUCUGCCUAUCCAUAGCCGGGCAAAUUGCUGCAUAUUCAAGUCACCCAAUUCUCUUCUCUUGCACUAUGUCUAUUGGAAUGGACCCUUGAUUCUCCAGCAGAUCCUCCUGGUAUGGAAGGAUAUCAUCCACAAAACAGAUUGCUGAAAAUGCCAUCCAAGUUCACAAAGGAGCGGUCUUCCUAAUAUCUCUUUUGUUUGUGGGAAUCUCUAGUGAGACCUUUUGAUUUCCGGGGUUUCCUACUGUCUUUUGACUUUGUCGUACUCUGCAUAAAAUCUAGUAUGGUGGUCCAGUUAUUUCUAGAAUAUUUCACAGGAUGAUCGUGUGCGGCUCCUAUCCAGCUAACCAAAUGGAUCAGUACCUGUUUGCGAAUUUCUCUUUCCCAAAGAGGACACAACGAUUCGAAAUUCAGGAAAUCUCCGAAUUCUCAAUGUGCAUUUUCUGGUCCUUUCUUAUGGACAAUUCCGUUUUCCCAUUGGCAUAAAGACUUGUUUGACUAUGAUCCACGAACCAAUUCACAUACUCAUCGGAUCUAUCCUUCGAAGAGAGUUGAUCCACUAUUUGCAGGACUUCCGCACCCUCGAUAGAAUGAAUGAAAUGACUGAGCAUAAAAUCCUAUAUAGCAAGGAUAGAUUAUACGGAAUAGAAGAGUCGGUUCUAAGCUAAUAAAAGUAUGAAUUCCCAUAGCAAUAGCAAAGAAAAAGGAAGCCCAUAUCUGAUAUAUUGCUGAGGCAUCUUGGGAAAGAAGUGUCUCUCGCAUCCGCCGGCUAUGAAUUCAAUAAGAAAAUCCAUGUGACUCAUGCAGAUCAAUACGGAAAUGGCAAGGCAUUCAACUUGACCCAUUCAUUCUCGACCAUACGCCCUAAGCUCCUAAAUCUCUGACCUGCCUCCCUUAUACUAAGAAGAGAAGUAUUUGCUUGCUUGCUGGUUGAAGUCUGCUCGUCGCAUUCUAGUCGUGCGUGAUAGAAUAGGCCCACAUAAAGAGAAAGCGGAGACCUUCCCAAGGUUACUCAUCUAGAUCUGGAUAAUCACUAGCUAUAUUAUUUCCUGCUCCUAAAUUCUCGUAAAUAGAGGAUAGGCCCGGCACCCCACAGUCACGGCACCUCUAAGAAGACACCUAUUCCCGGCGCACUCCAUGUGAAAGACACCUAUUCUCGGCACUAUUCCAUAGCACACACACUUAUACUUAAGUAGGCAUAGCUCCGUUAAGAGCUCAUCGAACUUGACUUCUAGAGUGAGACCUGUGAUAGAAGGGGUAAAGGUGAAUUUUGGUCCUCUUUCUCUCGGAAAUAUACGCCACAUGCCUGUGAUCGAUCUCUCUCUUUCUAGGUAUCGGUGAAGUCCGUCAUGGAAUUUAAGUGGUAGAGUGGUAAGUGGGCGUACGGUCUAUGGAUUUCCUAUCAGUGGCAUUAUUCCUUCUCUAGAUAGAUGGCUAUUGAGCUUCUCAUUCGUGAGAGUCAUGCGCCGGAUCAAGGGCUCUCUCAUCUCCUAUUUGGAAAUGUAUAGGUUGUGUAAGUGGCCAGUGCCCGCGGGUAAAGGCUGAUCAUCAAAAGUCAUAUAAUCCAUCUAAGUGCCGGUAUUGCCCAGUGCUUGUCUGGAGUUGUCAUGAUACCCGGAUACUCACCUCACUAUACGCCAAUUCAGGGAAAGGUCAUGCUGGGAAGCUUCAUUGAAAGAUAGUCUCAACACUCUCGAUGAGAAACGACAACCCAGCUAACAAAGGUUUAUGCAUAUGUUGGUCCACAUGCAGAGGAAGUCAAGGUUUCCAGAUGUGCUCAUCCCUGCUUGCUGAUAUGCAAAUCGAUUGGAAUUGGCAAAUCAUAGAGUUUGUCGCUGACAAGAGCUGUUUUGGCCAUGGUGAUCCUCCUCUCAAUACCCAUUCCUGCGAAUUCCCAAUCCAAUUAUAUUAGUAUAAUGUGUAGAAGAAAAAGGGGAAUCCAUGAGAAAGCCCAUAUUGUUCGUGGCAAUGGAACAUUCAUUUCCAGUUUUGUGAAUGGAGAUCACUGACGAGCACUCUUGCGCAAAUCAAGAGUAAAGGUAGGAGCUAUGAAGCUGUCCCGGGUAGGAAAGGAUCCCUUUGAGUUCAUAUUGCUGCAGGAGAAAGAGAAGGGCACAAAGCUUCUAUAUACCACUGGAUUCCACCAGACUGUUCUGUGGAAAACACGGCACCCUAUCCCUUCCCUGACGGGAACCUGGAUACCAUAGCAUAGGAACCUCCCCUUCCCUGACAGGAACCUGGAUACCAUAGCAUAGGAACCUCGAAAAUACGUAUUAUAGGUUGGUUGUAUACACACUCAUCCUUUAAGAAGAUAAGAGAGCCCCGCGGACAUUUCCUUCCUCGGAACCAGGAAACUGAUACUGCCUCGAUUCUGCUUCCGUCUAUCAUGUCCAAUCUUACUUUCGUGCCGAUGAAGGGCAGUCCGGAAGGUGGAGUUAGCACCGGGCCUAUUCUUAGAAGCUGAAGUAGGAGUAGGAGCACUCUUCUUCCUCAAGCGUAGCCAUAUUAGUUGGAUCCGGCAUCCUUUUCGACUGGAGAUACCCUCACAUUACCGGCUUCCCGGCAUACUGGCAAGUUUACUUGACUCACCCAUUCUUGAGAUUGGCCUAGCCACUACUUUGUUUGAUUUCCUUGUCACUGUAGUAAGCAAGUGGCACCUAUUGAUCUACUUCCCUCUAGCAUCACUCAUCCUUACGGCACGAGUCCAUCCAUCCCUCGACCGAAGAGAGUCUUCCUCCUCACGGAACUAGGGUUUGAUUUCAUAGACAAGACUUUCGAGCGCGACGUUGCGCACAUCCUCUUGCUUGGUAUCUUUUCUAGUGUGCAUCACAUUCAUUUUCCUUUCCAGGAAUUUUCCUUUCAUGUAGAUAUGAUAAUCUUCGUGGAAUCAACCUAAUAUAGGAUCUGCCAGUAGUACUUUCGCGGGAUUUGAAAGCAGGCAAACUUAUGAUGCGAGUCUAGUUAGAAUAGAACCAGUGCACUCUGAAAUCCGAACCAACCAAUAUGCUUCGCUUUCCUCUGCUUGUAUAGACUCCGUUCGUGCUAGGACAUCCAUAGCCAAUAGUAAUAGUAGCUAGUAGCUUCGCCCCCCCCUUGCCCCCGGAAAGGUUCUCAUUCCUCACUGGAUCUAGUUGACUUGCUGCUACAUCAAUCAAUCUAUCUAUAUGUUCCGGACGGAAGAGAGAGUUUCCUACAUUGCCAUUCCCAUGAACUGAACAUCGGGUACCAACGAUCUGGAAUCCCGUGCUGAAACCUACAGAUAUGCACCUGUGCGGACCAACCUGGCAAUCCUCCUGUCUAUUCUUUCUAUCUGGACUAGCGCUUCCCACUGGAGCUUACUACUUGACUAGAGCACUGGAACUUGUUAGUUUCAUUAGUCAGUUUCCUAGCAUAGCAAAGUGAGUUUCCCAUCAAUGGAUAAUCAUCCUGUUGUUUCCAUGAACAUCAGGUACAUAUAUGAACCUGUCAACGGAGCGGAACAUAUGAUAUGAACCAAGUAGAUUCAUCUCUUUGCUCGUAACGUUAGUAGUUACUCGCUCAUUAGUAGUGAACUAUGAUCAUUUGUGAGGAAUAUGUUUUCAACUCUAUGUAUGUCAAUUCGAGAGUAGAGCAAUCUAUGUCAACCAAGAGCAGAACUCUCUCUAUUUCUGGCACAGGCUUUCUUUCAAUCAAGAAGAAGAUUAUUUCAGAUUUUAUCACUAUCCGGACUGCUAUCUACUAUCUACCUACCUAUCUACCCGGGCUCGUUGUGAGGCGGGACCCAACCCUCCUCUUCACUCCACUACUUCAAUAGAAAUGGAUCCAUCAUCUGCUACCCAUGAGUAAUAACAUUACGAAUCUACCACUAAUCCCGAGGGCAAGUAUGAAAAAGAGAGUCAAGCAAGGUUGUAUUCGUAUGUUCCAUUUGAGUAAGCCUCUGAUGCCCUGCGCAUCUAGUUAGUACUUACGGAGCUUAAAAAUCCCUUAUUUUAAGCUCUUUUUCCAUUCGAUUCCUUCAAUGCUUCACCGUACUGACUCAAACCUUCGGACCAAAACCUGCAAGGAUACAGGUACUCUUUCGCGUAUCUAUAGUACGCGCCAACUACUACCUAAGCACUCGAAUAUUCGUAUUUCAUUUCGAAUGAAUCUAUAAAACAAAUAGAAAAUGUUCAUGAUCCAUUGACAAAAAGCAAGACGCCGAUCAAGGCACUCAUUCCUUUCGCUUAUUACGUUCUCUGUUAGAACUGUUUAUAGACAUAGCCCUUUAAAGGCGAUAUUUACUGGACCUGCACCCUUUCCUUUGGGCAACGAAGAGUGCAUUGUCCAUCCAGUAUUUGUUUGCUGGUUCUCUAUGCUUUCUUUUGACUGGAAACCUAGGCUAUUCUCAGUGCUCUUACUUCAAGGAUAAAACAAACUAUCUAUUAUAAAAAUCCUUAUCACUACAAGCUCCAAUACCACGGGGUAGCGACAGAAAUGUGAAUUAGUACCCGUAUCUGCUGAUACCUGAAUUGCUUCCACUUUAGAAUCAGCUAGGCGAGAGCCCUGUUGUCCUACUGAAAUGGAUUCUAAUAAAUUCACAAGCACACGGAUAAUGAAUGGAAGCAGAUAGAACCUAUUCAAUCAAAAAACAUAUUCUAACGCAUGUAUUUAGAUAAGAAAAGCGAGGUUUCAAUGGCUUGGAAGGGAAUCUAUCAUUUGUCGGUCUAACGGGGGUUAUAAGAUGGAUAAUCUCACCAAUGCUCUCUGACACAACAUACCUGCUAUCCAAAGACCCCACCUAUAAUGUCAAGAUAGCUCUGUCAACCAACGUUGUUUUAUAGAUCCAACCUUACCAGAUGGUGUUUCUCUUAUCUUCUCCUGAAUGGGUUACCUAACCCUAGCUAUACAGGUGGGGCACAAGAGACGGUACCAAGAGCUGGAGAAGCACCUGGCCCUGUACCUAUGCUGAUUGAGUUCGAGAGCACCGGUAUUUAUUGCAUUAGGACAGGUCUUGCAUUGCUAGAGCUUUUAGGAAGACGAGUAGCUCUCGAGUAUGUUUCUGUUUCAGCCACUCCAAAUGAGAACGUUUCACCAUGCUCCACCAACUAUUCCAAACUGGCAUCCUUUCCUAAACUCAAUGAACUAAUUGAGAAUUCUUCCCUGCCUGGGUGUGCCCUUAAUGAAUUAUCCGUUGGCGGCUAUAGCGAGAUCUGGGUUAGAGUCUAUCUCCCCAUCCCUCCGGCGAGGUAGCAAUGAGCUAUCAAACGCCAAUAGAGGACAAAUCCUGUUGUCCGUUUAUUUCAGCACCACAAUCUUUGUUCGUUCCUACAACAUCUAAAUCAGCACUGGGAGCGGUUCCAGAUGCACUUUCAGGUGAAGUCACAUCAGACGUUUUCGAGGAUGUUCUGGCACAUUGCUGGGGUAUUGAAACCCGUGAAACCGUGGCUACUGCCAUUACAAUCUGAUCGAAGGGAUGGCAUUAGGUAGACAACAACCUCUCUUGAGCGCCGCCUUGAUGGCUUUGUGAAUGAAAUUCGAGUAGAUGUUGUUUCAUCCCGCGUAUGUCUAGAAUCUUGUUAGGAUUCGUCUAUUCCAGGUCAGGAAAGAGCUUCUGUAAACUAUCGUGAUAAGCAUAGCCUUCGCCCCGCAGAGUACUAUAUCAAUGGUUCACCAGGAUAAAUUCAUUAAUGGCUUAGGGCCGGUCUUCAGUAAGUCAAUCAUCAUCGGGUGGAGGGGAAGGCCCUACGUCAAGGUCAAUGGAUUCACCUACCCCAGUCUCAGAACUUUCUAGACUUUCUUACCUGUGUUCUUCUAAACUAAGAGAAGGGCGUGCAUCUACAGCAAUGGUAUUAUCUUCCUUUUUCUUUUUGCAUCUUUGAAUCCUGGUGUGUUGGUUAGUACCGAAGCCUCUUGGCUAGUACAGAGUUGUGGUUUGAUAUAGCUACUAGAGAACCUGGAGGCACUCUCUGAAAAUAAGUAUUCUUCAUAUGACAUGUGAAUAGACAACUCCUGGUAUGCUCAUUUCAUUCCUCUUGGACCUAGAUCUUCACUUUCAGAAGUGCAGAAUUGAUGUAUCAAAGGCAUUUCAAAGGAACAGAGGGUCCAUCUUUGAAGUGAGAGACAAUUGGUUUCAACUAUGUCGUAGGGGUUGUAUUCUUAGACCUGCCGGGAGGGAGGAACCACCGUCCUAGGUAUUGAGCAUGUGAAUCAUGUUAUUUUGUAGGAAUAGAGAUUCUCAGCCAUCAUAUCUUGUUCACCCUUGGCCAUGUCUCCUUCCGAGAAUGAGUUGGUUUGGGGAGAUCAUUAGGUUACUGAGAUCGAAGUAGUGAGGCUGCUUGAGUGCCAUCGAAACCCAUUUGAAAUUGCAAUGACAUAUUGAAGUAGUAGUUCAUUCAACACCCGAUUAGGUAUCUGGAAAUAGUUCCUUAGCACUUUUCUAGUUCAUUAAUAGAAUCUAAAUGAGAUUGAAUGGAAAUGUUGGUAAACGAGGGGUGCAUCAUACUUUUCAAUAGAUGUUGGGGUUCCUAAACCAUAAGGAUACUCUUUUCAUAGAACAAGGCCUGCCAAUCGAUCACCUAGGCUAUAAUCCAAGGGAUAGCUUAACAUGCAUCUCCUAGAUGGAAGUUUGCGACAAUAACUUUGAGCUACUAUAGUCUUUGAUCCUUGAUCUGAAGAGGUAGGCAGCUAUGAUAAAGAAGCCAAGGGAUGAAGUGAUUGUGGUUGGCGUGCCACAUGGAAACUAGAUAGGUGGAAGCUAUUUUAGACGACCUUGCGGGUCAUCCUAACAUUGAAAUGAAGCUAUUCGAGUAGACAAUGAAUAAAGCUAUGAAUGGGGGUAGCUUUACGAGGCAUAAUGCCGGUGUGCACUUUUCUUUUCUCAAACCGUGGUUGAUCCUCUCUAAAUCUGAGGUCAAUAUUUCUUUGCAAUGAACGUUUAUUAGGUCUGGAAAACCUUGUUAGGUGCACUCGUAGGUGAGCUCAAUGUGAGGAUUCAUGCGUUCUUUCUUCUCAAGAAGACGGAAUGAUUGCUCGGUAUGAUAUAGAUUCUUAGCCAGGGGUUUGGUAGCUUAUGCCCCCUAGUUUGCAACGUAGAGCAGAAAUGGUUGAAACGGCUCCCAUUGUGUGUGGGAAUUAUUUCAAAUGUGCAUGGCCUCUCAUAUCUUGAAUCGCUUAUCUGAUUGUUCGGGAGCUAUUGACUUGGUCAUCAUUUGAUUCCACUUCCCCGCCUUUAGUUGGAAGGUUCCAUUUGUCAUAAAUUACUUGUCAAAGAUGGGAUAUCUUGGCUGCCGUGAAUGAUAUUGAGCUACCGGAUCUCGGGACCAUGGUGAAUUAUCUACCAUGCAAUGGGGUCUGCUUUGUAAAACAAGUAAAGUGCACGAAGACGUGUCGAAGGGAAGGAAUAGAACUUGUUUGGCUGUUCAACCCGCGUCGGUUGUUGAUAUUGGAUGAGAUAGCUCGAGAAGGGAACAAAGAAUUCCAACUGGCUGUGGCGAGCGCUCUCCUACUGUUAGUGGCUUAGCUCCGGGGCUCGACUCCUCGAUGGAAUAAAGAUAGAGCUAUUAACCCAUACGCCCUCUUAUUUAAGGUUUCAUAGUUUAGGAAACUACAAUUCUUGUUUGUAUUAGAAUGCAUAGUUGUUUGAAACUAAAGGAAAGGAAUGCUGAUUCGAAUAGGGAUAGGUGAUAUCUUUGAUAGGUCCCCGGUUGUUAGAUUGAGGGAAAACCUAGUGUUCGAUUAAGGAUUCCCCUGAUCAAAAGCGGAUUUCGUUGAGAAGAUGUCAUGGUUGUCGGGGAUCCAAAGUAGUUUCUCUUUCUCACCAGCAAAGCAUAGAAUAUGGAACAAAGAAUGGUGUAUAAUACCCGUAUUCCAAUAAUAAAUCACUUAAUAUGCUGCCCAUGUUGAAAAACCUCUUACUUGUACGAGCUAUGGUACAGGCGUACCUCUCAAGUUGUGCCCCGAGGCCAGUUCAUCAUCUUGAUCUUUUGGUUAGUACGAACGAUGAAGCAGCAGAUACCGGGGUUCUUGCUUGCCUUGUCUUUGACUGCGACUUGCCUAGGUAUCCACCUUAGGCGCCGCUCUCUUGUUUCACUCACAAUUCCGUAGUUGACUGAGCAAUUUCGUCAUUUCCAAAAGUGCACUUCGUUUUUCACUGGCUCGGGCGUACCCCGACCGAAGGGAGUGAAAUCGAUGCCUUUUAUUUCCCAUGCAAAUUCAUAUGGCACUUCCCACAAGCAAGGGAUGAGUAGGAGAAGGAAAGAUUUAUGAAUAUCUAUUGCUUCGAGACUCCACUCACCAUGUCAGUAAACCUUAUAACAGUUAUGGCAGGCAGGAGGUGAUAAGAAAGUAAUUGUAAACAGCCAUCCAAUUGAUAAUAUUUCCUACGGAAAGAUCUGGGCUUGCAUACCUUUUCGAGUAACCUAUAAUGAAUGCAUUCUUAUUUACUACCAUUAUAACCAUUGGUAAGCCGAUCUAUCGUCAAGGGUCCCUAUCGCCAAUUCUCGCCAUUAGAAAUAGGCCUUAGAAUCGCAUCCUUUUUUCUCUUAGUAGAAGUCCCAUAUCUGUCUCAUCGAUCUGGAUAUAACGCAUUGCUCGAGCAAAACAUCUUCCUUUUGCGGAAGGAUCGGCAGGUAUGAGGGACACAUAUUUGUAGCCCUCGGACAGAGGCUCAUUAGGAAAGAAUUGACACUUUUGGCCUUCAUCGUCAGGCCUAGGCCUUAGGUUUACCUUGCUCUAGCGUAGUCAUAUCCAAAUUCAAGAUCAAUCGGAGAAGCUGGCCCUUCGCCUCGAGGAAAUCCCUCUGGAGAUUCAACAUACCCGAAACUGGAAGAUACUAAAGACUAAAGUCAAUGGCAUUCGAUUGGAUAAUCUACUUCGACUUCUCUAUGAUGCUUUUAUUCUGAGUAUAGAAACGGCAUCGGCAUAGGAAAUCGUACAUCAACACCUCAAACGGAUGUUAUAGAAGAGCUACCCACUGGCAUACUCCCUUUUUGCCAAGGAGUUCAGCUUUCACAGAGCUAGAGGAGAGAAACGUCCAACGCUGGCAAGUCGUCACUUUCGUCUUCUUUAGUGCGCUCUAGCCCAAAGACUUCUGCUUAUCCAUAUUCAUGGAAUUGUUAUUCGUUGAGUUUAGAAAUAUCAGGAUACCGAGGGCUUCCUUCUCACGCCUAGCAAAGAUCGAGUUAUGUUCGCACUUCACUUAAUGAGCCUAUUUCUCAGUUUUUAUACCCGUUUAGAUAGAUGGGCUCUAAGGGAGAAGUGGCACACUUUCUCGAGCUAUCUAAGCAUCCAGGGAAGUGAUUCCACAAGCUAGAGAGAUUCUCCUAUUUUCUUUUUCAGAGUUGAGCUCAGGCUAAGGCCAAGCAUGGAUCAAUGUUUGUCAAAUCAUUCUCUGUUGAGUUGAGUCCUCGCCGAAGGUGCCGUGCCGUAUAGUACUUCUCCGGUUAUAGGUGAUAGAUGCAUGGCUUCCGCUCAUGAGGAACGAGUGAGACCGGCGCUCAAUCAAUCAACCACCAGUAGAAGAUAAAGUAAACAAAGGGGUUCUUCAAUGAGAGGCGCAUGAGAUUCUGUAUUGGCCAACUCUUUCUAACUAUCACUAGGCCGGAUACUCUGAUUCUCUGUGGAUGAUUUCCUUCUCUCUCGUUCAAUGCUCUUUGGUCUCGAGGAUCGCCAUUUGGUGGGGUUGGGGUCACACCCGAAGUCGUAUUGGAGAAUUGAGCGGAACUACUUCGAUGUGCACUCUUUUAUUGGGUCAGGAAGCCCUGUUUUUGAAGCAGCAAGACCUCUUCGUCAUCAUUAUUGGGGUAUGGGCCCUAAAUCAUUGGAAAAGACGGUUUUCUUUAGGGAAUUUAAACGAUAUCGCCUCCUUCUGUACUAAAAAGGGAAUGGAUGAGUUCACUUAAGAAGCAGGCCUGGCCGGUACUAAAACAGAGAAGUCCGCUCAGGUUUCAUCUCAUCUAAGCAGCAACCAAGCGAUGAUUCUGGAAUCGUGCCAUUCUUGAUAGUUGGACUUCUCUCCAUACAUAGAAAUGAACUGCUCAUGAGCUAGCUAUCCCCGAUAUGUUCUCGUACUAGACUUCACACAUGUCGUCAUCGUAUAAUCGGAGAAUCAACACUGAUGUCUACCUUUGGAAAACUAAAUAGAUGAUUUUCGAUACUAGGAUGACUACUCCCGAGGCCUGUUUUAACUAAAGAAUUUACAGGUGGCCCGGUCGGUAAACUAUUCCCGAGAGAGGAUAAGCAGAAACAUCAAUCUGUAUUUUCGUAUCAUAUUCCAGCAGCUCCAAUGCCUUAGAGCAGGAUCUUAUCUUCCUAGAAAGAAAUGAGUGUUGCACACAGAUAGCCAGCUACUCCUUAUGAAUGGGAUGCAUGCAUAUUUCAAUUCAUGAACUGAAGCUCGUAGAAAUCCUUCCUGUCCGCCUAGUUACCUAUCCGGACUUGUUUCGUAGAAAUCCUACCUUGCUUUUAGGCGGAGAAAGACUAUUUUUUAGUUUCUUCGGUGCAAAAGUGCCGUAGGCAAGUCCGUUUCAUAUAGCUGCAAAAGUUAGCAAGUCCUUUUUUCCUAAGGAAACUCGAUUUCCAAUGAAAAAAGUGCAGAUCACUAUGGGUCAAAAGUAGUGUUUUUCUAGUUUACCACAAAAAUGCAUGUUUUGAGAGCUAUAUUUUUCGAUCAAUUCCUAAUCACUUAGCUGUAAAAGUAGGAUUUUUUCAUCUCCCGAAACCCAGGCCCUCUCCCCAAAACUCCACACCAAGCCUUUAGAUACGCAAAUAUGAGCUUGCCUUGGCUUUAUUGCCCUUAUCGGAUGGAAGUUACGGAUGAGAGAUGACGUAUCUUACGUAUCGAAUCUCAAGUAACAGAUGAGAAUUGACGUAUUCAAAGUGGAAAGAACGAAUACCGAUUCUCGUGGAUGAACGGAGGAAAUGGGAACUUGGUCUUUGCACUCUUCUUUCGGGGGGGUUAUCCCAUGACAUUAAUAAGAGGUGAGUAAUUACUAAAAGGUGAGUAAAAGAAUUCACAGAAAUUACUUUAUAAUAUCUAUGGCCAAUACCCCAGUUGGUCCUAUACAUAUCAUUUACCUAUUUGCGAUUUCUCUUUCCCAAAGUGGACACAAUGAUUCGAAAUUCAGGAAAUCUCCGAAUUCUCAGUGUGCAUUUUCUGGUCCUUUCUUAUGGACAAUUCCGUUUUCCCAUUGGCAUAAAGACUUGUUUGACUACGAUCCACGAACCAAUUCACAUAGUCAUCAGAUCUAUGCUUCGAAGAGAGUUGAUCCGCUAUUUGGAGGACUUCCGCACCCUCGAUAGAAUGAAUGAAAUGACUGAGCAUAAAAUCCUAUAUAGCAAGGAUAGAUUAUACGGAAUAGAAGAGUCGGUUCUAAGCUAAUCAAAGUAUGAAUUCCCAUAGCAAUAGCAAAGAAAAAGGAAGCCCAUAUCUGAUAUACUGCUGAGGCAUCUUGGGAAAGAGGUGUGUCUCGCAUCCGUCGGCUAUGAAUUCAAUGAGAAAAUCCAUGUGACACACGCAGAUUAAUACGGAAAUGGCAAGGCAUUCAACUUGACCCAUUCAUUCUCGAUCAUACGCCCUUAGCUCCCAACUCUCUAACCUGCCUCCCUUAUACUAAGAAGAGAAGUAUUUGCUUGCUUGCUGGUUGAAGUCUGCUCGUCGCAUUCUAGUCGUGCGUGAUAGAAUAGGCCCACAUAAAGAGAAAGCGGAGACCUUCCCAAGGUUACUCAUCUAGAUCUGGAUAAUCACUAGCUAUAUUAUUUCCUGCUCCUAAAUUCUCGUAAAUAGAGGAUAGGCCCGGCACCCCACAGUCACGGCACCUCUAAGAAGACACCUAUUCCCGGCGCACUCCAUGUGAAAGACACCUAUUCUCGGCACUAUUCCAUAGCACACACACUUAUACUUAAGUAGGCAUAGCUCCGUUAAGAGCUCAUCGAACUUGACUUCUAGAGUGAGACCUGUGAUAGAAGGGGUAAAGGUGAAUUUCAAUCCUCUUUCUCUCGGAAAUAUACACCACAUGCCUGUGAUCGAUCUCUCACUUUCUAGGUAUCGGUGAAGUCCGUCAUGGAAUUUAAGUGGUAGAGUGGUAAGUGGGCGUACGGUCUAUCGAUUUCCUAUCAGUGGCAUUAGUUCCUUCUCUAGAUAGAUGGCUAUUGAGCUUCUCAUUCGUGAGAGUCAUGCGCCAGAUCAAGGGCUCUCUCAUAUCCUAUUUGGAAAUGUAUAGGUUCUGUAAGUGGCCAGUGCCCGCGGGUAAAGGCUGAUCAUCAAAAGUCAUCUAAUCCAUCUAAGUGCCGAUAUUGCCCAGUGCUUGUCUGGAGUUGUCA